This 292-nucleotide ribosomal RNA is filed under the name uncultured bacterium. RNAcentral's name for it is "partial 16S ribosomal RNA". It matches the Rfam family "Bacterial small subunit ribosomal RNA", at positions 505 to 796 of the family's 1533-position model. The record is from RNAcentral.
GUGCCAGCAGCCGCGGUAAUACGUAGGGACCGAGCGUUGUCCGGAUUUAUUGGGCGUAAAGAGCUCGUAGGCGGCCGAUCACGUCGGAUGUGAAAGCUCAAGGCUCAACCUUGAGAGGCCAUUCGAUACGGAUCGGCUAGAGGUAGGUAGGGGAAAGUGGAAUUCCUGGUGUAGCGGUGAAAUGCGCAGAUAUCAGGAGGAACACCGGUGGCGAAGGCGGCUUUCUGGGCCUUACCUGACGCUGAGGAGCGAAAGCUGGGGGAGCGAACAGGAUUAGAAACCCUGGUAGUCC